Molecule: ribosomal RNA, 253 nt
Filed under: uncultured bacterium
Lineage: Bacteria
Description: partial 16S ribosomal RNA
Rfam family: Bacterial small subunit ribosomal RNA
Source: RNAcentral
UACGAAGGGGGCUAGCGUUGUUCGGAAUUACUGGGCGUAAAGCGCGCGCAGGCGGUCCUUCAAGUCAGAGGGGAAAGCCCAGAGCUCAACUCUGGAACGGCCUUUGAGACUAGAGGACUUGGGUACGGGAGAGGUGAGUGGAAUUCCGAGUGUAGAGGUGAAAUUCGUAGAUAUUCGCAAGAACACCAGUGGCGAAGGCGGCUCACUGGCCCGAUACUGACGCUGAGGCACGAAAGCGUGGGGAGCAAACAGG